CCUACGGGAGGCAGCAGUGGGGAAUAUUGGGCAAUGGAGGCAACUCUGACCCAGCAACGCCGCGUGAAUGAUGAAGGUCUUCGGAUUGUAAAGUUCUUUUCUCAGGGAAGAAGAAAGUGACGGUACCUUAGGAAUAAGCCUCGGCUAACUACGUGGCAGCAGCCGCGGUAAUAAGUAGGAGGCAAGCGUUAUCCGGAAUGACUGGGCGGAAAGGGUGCGGAGGUGGGUUGACAAGUUAGUAGCGCAACUCCGAGGCUCAACUUCGGAACUACUACUAAAACUGUUGGACUUGAGUGCAGGAGGGGCAAUCGGAAUUCCUAGUGGAGCGGUGGAAUGCGUAGAUAUUAGGAGGAACACCAGUGGCGAAGGCGGAUUGCUAGACUGUAACUGACACUGAGGCACGAAAGCGUGGGGAGCAAACAGGAUUAGAUACCCUAGUAGUC
RNAcentral lists this ribosomal RNA (443 nucleotides) under uncultured bacterium. RNAcentral's name for it is "partial 16S ribosomal RNA". It matches the Rfam family "Bacterial small subunit ribosomal RNA", at positions 338 to 795 of the family's 1533-position model. The record is from RNAcentral.